RNAcentral lists this ribosomal RNA (410 nucleotides) under uncultured prokaryote. RNAcentral's name for it is "bacterial SSU rRNA". It matches the Rfam family "Bacterial small subunit ribosomal RNA", at positions 355 to 776 of the family's 1533-position model. The record is from RNAcentral. RNAcentral also lists the same sequence under 1 other name.
UGGGGAAUAUUGCACAAUGGGCGCAAGCCUGAUGCAGCGACGCCGCGUGGGGGAUGAAUGCCUUCGGGUUGUAAACCUCUUUCGACAGGGACGAAGUGAAAAUGACGGUACCUGUAUAAGAAGCACCGGCUAACUACGUGCCAGCAGCCGCGGUAAUACGUAGGGUGCGAGCGUUGUCCGGAAUUACUGGGCGUAAAGAGCUCGUAGGUGGUUUGUCACGUCGUCUGUGAAAUUCCGGGGCUUAACUCCGGGCGUGCAGGCGAUACGGGCAAUACUUGAGUGCUGUAGGGGAGACUGGAAUUCCUGGUGUAGCGGUGAAAUGCGCAGAUAUCAGGAGGAACACCAAUGGCGAAGGCAGGUCUCUGGGCAGUUACUGACGCUGAGGAGCGAAAGCAUGGGUAGCGAACAGG